RNAcentral lists this unclassified non-coding RNA (451 nucleotides) under uncultured Bordetella sp. Its description in RNAcentral is "partial 16S-23S ribosomal RNA intergenic spacer". It matches the Rfam family "Bacterial small subunit ribosomal RNA", at positions 340 to 794 of the family's 1533-position model. The record is from RNAcentral. Lineage: Bacteria; Pseudomonadati; Pseudomonadota; Betaproteobacteria; Burkholderiales; Alcaligenaceae.
UACGGGGCAGCAGUGGGGAAUUUUUGGACAAUGGGGAAACCCUGAUCCAGCCAUCCCCGCGUGCGGAGAAGGCCUUCGGGUUGUAAAGCACUUUUGGCAGGAAAAGAAACGGCACGACAGGUCAUCGCAAUCGAUGAACGAAUAUGGUCGGCCAAUUACGUGCCAGCAGCCGCGGUAAUAAUAAUGUAGGGUGCAAGCGUUAAUCGGAAUUACUGGGCGUAAAGCGUGCGCAGGCGGUUCGGAAAGAAAGAUGUGAAAUCCCAGAGCUUAACUUGGAACUGCAUUUUUAACUACCGAGCUAGAGGUGUCAGAGGGAGGUGGAAUUCCGCGUGUAGCAGUGAAAUGCGUAGAUAUGCGGAGGAACACCGGAUGGCAAAGGCAGCCUCCCGGGAUAACAUCGACGCUCAUGCACGAAAGCGUGGGGAGCAACAGGAUUAGAUACCCCUGUAGU